Molecule: non-coding RNA, 29 nt
Filed under: Rattus norvegicus (Norway rat)
Lineage: Eukaryota; Metazoa; Chordata; Mammalia; Rodentia; Muridae
Source: RNAcentral
UGUAAAGUCCAGGAUAAGCAUACCUUACA